ACCAAAUGGGCGGGUAAAAAUAAGUGGAAUACCGUUAUGCAAGAUAUGCUGGCUGAAAAGAACAUUAUUAGACUUUCAUGUCACAGUAGAUACCUCAAACAAUGAGUUAAGAACUGUAUUGAGAAGCCUCAUAGUUUCAUAGGUGAGAAGAAGGAAACAUGCUGGGAGGCCACACAGAAGGUGGUGAAAUCAAUGUUCUAUGUAAGCCAAGGGGAGCCUAUUGAUGAAGUCUUCUUGCUCCUGCUACGGGAAUCAUUGCACUCUCAGGCUUUCAUUCUGCAACAACAACAACAAAUGAGGAGCAGGCUCAAUAGAUUUUUUUGCCUCAGACUUCACUGGCCACCUCUCUUCCCAAAUCUCUCAAGUGGAUGGACAGAAAGAUGAUGACUGGGGUGGCAGAGUUCCUCUGACUCUGCAGUGCUGCAUCCAGGCAUGCCCAGCACAAGGAGGACAAGGACCUGUUGGGAUGAAUCCAGAGGAGGAACACCAAGGCUACAGUAGCAAAGCGAAAAUAUCAGGAGCGAAGGUGUGCACUGGGCACCCUCUCCAAAAGAAAACAGCAGAACUCUACCUCAGCCUCUGGGAAAACUCUUUAAACCACAAUGUAGUAUCACUUGUUGGAGCAUAUAAUCUGCUGAGACGAGAGUUCAACUCUCAUCCUAUGUACACAGGAUAAAA
Molecule: long non-coding RNA, 678 nt
Organism: Cyanistes caeruleus (blue tit)
Lineage: Eukaryota; Metazoa; Chordata; Aves; Passeriformes; Paridae
Source: RefSeq, a predicted model, not a curated record